UACGUAGGGUGCAAGCGUUGUCCGGAAUUAUUGGGCGUAAAGAGCUCGUAGGCGGUCUGUCGCGUCGGCUGUGAAAACCCGGGGCUCAACCCCGGGCCUGCAGUCGAUACGGGCAGACUAGAGUGCGGUAGGGGAGACUGGAAUUCCUGGUGUAGCGGUGAAAUGCGCAGAUAUCAGGAGGAACACCGGUGGCGAAGGCGGGUCUCUGGGCCGUAACUGACGCUGAGGAGCGAAAGCGUGGGGAGCGAACAGG
Molecule: ribosomal RNA, 253 nt
Filed under: uncultured bacterium
Lineage: Bacteria
Description: partial 16S ribosomal RNA
Rfam family: Bacterial small subunit ribosomal RNA
Source: RNAcentral